AGUGAACGCUGGCGGUAGGCCUAACACAUGCAAGUCGAACGGCAGCACAGUAAGAGCUUGCUCUUACGGGUGGCGAGUGGCGGACGGGUGAGGAAUACAUCGGAAUCUACUUUUUCGUGGGGGAUAACGUAGGGAAACUUACGCUAAUACCGCAUACGACCUACGGGUGAAAGCAGGGGAUCUUCGGACCUUGCGCGAUUGAAUGAGCCGAUGUCGGAUUAGCUAGUUGGCGGGGUAAAGGCCCACCAAGGCGACGAUCCGUAGCUGGUCUGAGAGGAUGAUCAGCCACACUGGAACUGAGACACGGUCCAGACUCCUACGGGAGGCAGCAGUGGGGAAUAUUGGACAAUGGGCGCAAGCCUGAUACAGCCAUACCGCGUGGGUGAAGAAGGCCUUCGGGUUGUAAAGCCCUUUUGUUGGGAAAGAAAAGCAGCAGGUUAAUACCCCGCUGUUCUGACGGUACCCAAAGAAUAAGCACCGGCUAACUUCGU
RNAcentral lists this ribosomal RNA (491 nucleotides) under uncultured bacterium. RNAcentral describes it as "partial 16S ribosomal RNA". It matches the Rfam family "Bacterial small subunit ribosomal RNA", at positions 29 to 506 of the family's 1533-position model. The record is from RNAcentral.